GGACUACCCGGGUAUCUAAUCCCGUUCGCUCCCCUGGCUUUCGCGCCUCAGCGUCAGUUGCCUCCCAGGACACUGCCUGCGCCAGCGGUAUUCCUCCGGAUCUCUACGCAUUUCACCACUCCACCCGGAAUUCUAUGUCCCUCUAAGGCCCUCGAGCCCGACCGUCUGCACGGCACUCUCCUGGUUAAGCCAGGAGCUGGCACCGCACACGCGCCGAGCCGCCUACGCGCCCUUUACGCCCAGUAACUCCGGACAACGCUCGCCCCCUACGUAUUACCGCGGCUGCUGGCAC
This 292-nucleotide ribosomal RNA is filed under the name uncultured bacterium. RNAcentral describes it as "partial 16S ribosomal RNA". The record is from RNAcentral.